UUGAAAGUGUCUCUUUUUAACUAUAUAAAAAUAAAUAUCUAUAGAAAUAACUUGCAGUUGGUGUUUGGUCACAAAAUCUCAAUGUCAUUAUCUGAGGCUCUUGGAGUUUCAUAUGGUCUUUAGAAAUAUAAUCUGCAAGUGCUUUAAUCUGUCUGCAUUAGAGGAUCCAAUAUCUGCAGUGCACAUUGCACCUAUAACUAUAAACCAGUUAACUUCCAACACCACACAAAUGAAAUAUCCGCCUCUGCUCAGUCUGCAAGCCAAUGAGCCAUUCCUAAUGCACACCCACAGAAGAGAAGCGGAGUUUAGAGCUACUCGCCGAGGUCUGCGCAAGUUCAUUAGCUGUUUAGCUAUUGAAGAGAUUUCAAAGCAACUCUGCUGCACUCCGUCAAAUGGACCCAGACGCAGAGGGCGAAUGGAGAGAAUGCCAAUUCCUUAAAACUACAUCCAACUUCUUUCAUUUUCCUCUCAGAACUUUCAAUUUACUGCUCAUCUGGGAUCGUCUUUCCGUAGCCUGGAGAAAAAUACUUUGCUGGAGCCCGUACUGACAGGAACUGGACGAGCGGUGCAGCAUUGAGGAUGAACUCCUGAUGGCAAGUUCAGCUCUGCUUGAUUGUGAUGAAGAAAUCGAUAAAGAUGGGAAUGCAGGCUCGUUAGAGAAUGCUGCUAAAUUACAGAGCAUACAGACAAAGCCCGCUGUUGACAUCGGAAUAAUGUUCAGUUUGAGUCUCUCACACAUUCGGAUGCACGGACAUACGCUAACACAAAGGAAAACCAGGCUGUGCUACAAUAGACGACAACGAAAGGAUAGAUAACAUUGGUGCUGUGAGGAAAAAAGGAAAGGGUAAAAAAA
Molecule: non-coding RNA, 853 nt
Organism: Danio rerio (zebrafish)
Lineage: Eukaryota; Metazoa; Chordata; Actinopteri; Cypriniformes; Danionidae
Source: RefSeq, a predicted model, not a curated record